Molecule: long non-coding RNA, 418 nt
Organism: Puntigrus tetrazona (Sumatra barb)
Lineage: Eukaryota; Metazoa; Chordata; Actinopteri; Cypriniformes; Cyprinidae
Exons: 3
Source: RefSeq, a predicted model, not a curated record
GUUAACACUUCUCUCAGAGCAAAUCAGGGCUUAAAGCAAGACCCCAGUCUAUCGUCACAAAAUACGUAACUCGUAGUGACUGACAGAUAGGAAACACCAUCUCAACUUCUCUGAAGAGCUCCUUAGGUGCAUGCAAAUAUCUAAUCCCGGUCUAUUAGGGUAGGGAUGGACCAAUCACAGUCGAGUAGGGUCGAGAUGGACCAAUCACAGUCGAUUAGGGUCGGGAUGGACCAAUCACAGUCCGGAUGGUGUUCUCGGCGUCUACACUCAGUUUUGAUUUAGUCUCCUGAAAAACGAAGCACAACUUUCUGAAGCACAGCUUCUGUCUUAUCGUCCGUAGGAGGAUGUCUCAGACGGUCAUACCGUGGCGUCUUCAACCCUCGUCAUCCAGCUGCAGCCGACGACGCACACCGCCGCU